RNAcentral lists this ribosomal RNA (246 nucleotides) under uncultured bacterium. RNAcentral describes it as "partial 16S ribosomal RNA". It matches the Rfam family "Bacterial small subunit ribosomal RNA", at positions 524 to 771 of the family's 1533-position model. The record is from RNAcentral.
UACGUAGGUGGCAAGCGUUGUCCGGAAUUAUUGGGCGUAAAGCGCGCGCAGGUGGCUAUGUAAGUCUGAUGUUAAAGCCCGAGGCUCAACCUCGGUUCGCAUUGGAAACUGUGUAGCUUGAGUGCAGGAGAGGAAAGUGGUAUUCCACGUGUAGCGGUGAAUGCGUAGAGAUGUGGAGGAACACCAGUGGCGAAGGCGACUUCUGGCCUGUAACUGACACUGAGGCGCGAAAGCGUGGGGGAGCAA